RNAcentral lists this long non-coding RNA (327 nucleotides) under Rosa chinensis. RNAcentral describes it as "sRNA RchiOBHm_Chr6g0253911". Lineage: Eukaryota; Viridiplantae; Streptophyta; Magnoliopsida; Rosales; Rosaceae. The record is from RNAcentral.
GUUUGCUGCCUAAUACCUCAGACAAUUCUAAAGCAAGAAACUCACAUUCUGUGGACAAUAUUGCAACAGAUUCAAGUGCACACCAUGAUGAAGAUGGUACUGAUGAAGAUGGUGAUGAAGAUGUUGCUGAUGAAUAUGAUGCAAACUCUAAUGAGGACUUUUAUUAGCUAUAUUGUUAGCUUCCUUGCUUAAGAAUGAUUAUAUUAUAAAGACCAAAUAUUGAAUAUUUAUCUUUAUCUGAACAUGUAUGAAUGAUUAACUAUGUUUCUUCUAAUGCAAUUUUUUUUUUAUGAAGAUUUAAUUGUCUCCUUGUUAAUUGACAAUUAA